This 343-nucleotide long non-coding RNA is filed under the name Malus domestica (apple). RNAcentral describes it as "long non-coding RNA (MDOM_LNC006906)". Lineage: Eukaryota; Viridiplantae; Streptophyta; Magnoliopsida; Rosales; Rosaceae. The record is from RNAcentral.
GAUGCCUCGGGUUAAUGAAAACUUUUUUUUUCAACGCCACCUGUAUAUUUGUUGCCUCGGGUUAAUGAAAACUUUUUUUUUUCAACGCCACCUGUAUAUUUGUUGCCUCGGGUUAAUGAAAACUUUUUUUUUUUCAACGCCACCUGUAUAUUUGUUGCCUCGGGUUAAUGAAAACUUUUUUUUUUUCAACGCCACCUGUAUAUUUGUUGCCUCGGGUUAAUGAUCUAGUUAAUUUGUUUUUGUUUUUUUGUUUUUUGUUUGGAUAGAUAUGGAUCGAAGGAAACUUUUAUUGAUCUUAUUGUUAGAGAUGUCUUAUUUGGAGACAAUUUGUAUUUGUACGAUU